AGAGACAGCAGCCGCCGCGGUAAUACGAGGGGGGCAAGCGUUAAUCGGAAUUACUGGGCGUAAAGCGUGCGCAGGCGGUUCUAUAAGACAGAUGUGAAAUCCCCGGGCUCAACCUGGGAACUGCAUUUGUGACUGUAGAGCUGGAGUACGGCAGAGGGGGAUGGAAUUCCGCGUGUAGCAGUGAAAUGCGUAGAUAUGCGGAGGAACACCGAUGGCGAAGGCAAUCCCCUGGGCCUGUACUGACGCUCAUGCACGAAAGCGUGGGGAGCAAACAGGAUUAGAUACCCGAGUAGUCCCUGUCUCUUAUAC
Molecule: ribosomal RNA, 309 nt
Filed under: uncultured bacterium
Lineage: Bacteria
Description: partial 16S ribosomal RNA
Rfam family: Bacterial small subunit ribosomal RNA
Source: RNAcentral